Nannospalax galili (Upper Galilee mountains blind mole rat) is the source of this 664-nucleotide long non-coding RNA. RefSeq lists it as uncharacterized. The record is from RefSeq and is a predicted model, not a curated record. The transcript has 2 exons. Lineage: Eukaryota; Metazoa; Chordata; Mammalia; Rodentia; Spalacidae.
UUGGCCUCACUACUGUUUGGGAAGACCAGCUUUCUUACCUUUUAUCACCGGCUUUGGCGUCUUACGAAUUUGAGCGAACAACAAGUGUAUCUGCAGGCAACGAAGAAUUUCAGGAUGCCAUAAGGAGGGCUGUACCCCAUGGUCACACAUUUAAAGGGUUCCCAAUACAUUUUGUAUAUAGAAAUGCAAGGCGUGCAUUUGCCACAUGUCUUCGGUCUCCUUUUUGUGAAGAAAUAAUCUGUUGUCGUGGAGACCAGGUGCGGCUGGCAGUUCGUGUUCGAGUAUUUACUUACCCUGAAUCUGCAUGUGCUGUUUGGAUCAUGUUUGCUUGUAAAUAUCGCUCGGUAUUAUAGGACUAAUGUUUCUGUAAGAAGUAUAUCUGCUUUAUUUGAGUUGUAUAUUACUGGCUGUCUGAAAGUUUCUUGUUUUAUUUAUUUAUUUAUUUUUAAUUUAUUUUUUGAGACAAGGUCUCACUAUGUGGCCCUGAAUGACCUGCAACUUGCUAUGUAGACCAGAUUGGCCUCUAACUCACAGAGAUCCACGUGCCUCUGCCUCCCAACUGCUGGGAUUAAAGGCUGUGUGCUACUAUGCCCAGCACAGUUUCUUAUUUUAAAGUUAGCAUCUGGUAUGGAUGUCAUUAUUUGUCUUGUAUAGACCUGAGUGA